Molecule: ribosomal RNA, 431 nt
Filed under: uncultured bacterium
Lineage: Bacteria
Description: partial 16S ribosomal RNA
Rfam family: Bacterial small subunit ribosomal RNA
Source: RNAcentral
AGCGAACGCUGGCGGCAGGCUUAACACAUGCAAGUCGAGCGCCCCGCCAGGGGAGCGGCAGUCGGGAGAGUAACACGUGGGAACAUACCUUUUGGUUCGGAACAACUGAGGGAAACUUCAGCUAAUACCGGAUAAGCCCUUACGGGGAAAGAUUUAUCGCCGAAAGAUUGGCCCGCGUCUGAUUAGCUAGUUGGUGAGGUAACGGCUCACCAAGGCGACGAUCAGUAGCUGGUCUGAGAGGAUGAUCAGCCUCACUGGGACUGAGACACGGCCCAGACUCCUACGGGAGGCAGCAGUGGGGAAUAUUGGACAAUGGGGGCAACCCUGAUCCCGCCAUGCCGCGUGAGUGAUGAAGGCCUUAGGGUUGUAAAGCUCUUUUGCCCGGGAAGAUAAUGACGGUACCGGGAGAAUAAGCCCCGGCUAACUUCGUG